GAUGAACGCUGGCGGCGUGCCUAAUACAUGCAAGUCGAGCGAACAGACGAGGAGCUUGCUCCUCUGACGUUAGCGGCGGACGGGUGAGUAACACGUGGAUAACCUACCUAUAAGACUGGGAUAACUUCGGGAAACCGGAGCUAAUACCGGAUAAUAUAUUGAACCGCAUGGUUCAAUAGUGAAAGACGGUUUUGCUGUCACUUAUAGAUGGAUCCGCGCCGCAUUAGCUAGUUGGUAAGGUAACGGCUUACCAAGGCGAAGAUGCGUAGCCGACCUGAGAGGGUGAUCGGCCACACUGGAACUGAGACACGGUCCAGACUCCUACGGGAGGCAGCAGUAGGGAAUCUUCCGCAAAGGGCGAAAGCCUGACGGAGCAACGCCGCGUGAGUGAUGAAGGUCUUCGGAUCGUAAAACUCUGUUAUUAGGGAAGAACAAAUGUGUAAGUAACUAUGCACGUCUUGACGGUACCUAAUCAGAAAGCCACGGCUAACUACGUG
This 497-nucleotide ribosomal RNA is filed under the name uncultured bacterium. RNAcentral describes it as "partial 16S ribosomal RNA". It matches the Rfam family "Bacterial small subunit ribosomal RNA", at positions 28 to 507 of the family's 1533-position model. The record is from RNAcentral.